GCGUUCGUGGUGUAUCGGUAACAUUGGGUCUUCCCAGUGUGACGGUGGCAGUCACAUUAAAAUUGGCCUAGCACCGGGUUCGACUCCCGGCGGACGCA
This is a non-coding RNA of Mycena amicta, 98 nucleotides long. NCBI's taxonomy places the organism in Eukaryota, Fungi, Basidiomycota, Agaricomycetes, Agaricales, Mycenaceae. The record is from the annotation of a GenBank genome assembly.